UACGUAGGGGGCAAGCGUUAUCCGGAUUUACUGGGUGUAAAGGGGGCGCAGACGGCGAUGCAAGCCAGGAGUGAAAGCCCGGGGCCCAACCCCGGGACUGCUCUUGGAACUGCGUGGCUGGAGUGCAGGAGGGGCAGGCGGAAUUCCUGGUGUAGCGGUGAAAUGCGUAGAUAUCAGGAGGAACACCGGUGGCGAAGGCGGCCUGCUGGACAGCAACUGACGUUGAGGCCCGAAAGCGUGGGGAGCAAACGGG
Molecule: ribosomal RNA, 253 nt
Filed under: uncultured bacterium
Lineage: Bacteria
Description: partial 16S ribosomal RNA
Rfam family: Bacterial small subunit ribosomal RNA
Source: RNAcentral